This 253-nucleotide ribosomal RNA is filed under the name uncultured bacterium. RNAcentral's name for it is "partial 16S ribosomal RNA". It matches the Rfam family "Bacterial small subunit ribosomal RNA", at positions 524 to 776 of the family's 1533-position model. The record is from RNAcentral.
UACGAAGGGAGCUAGCGUUGUUCGGAAUCACUGGGCGUAAAGCGCACGUAGGCGGAUGUGUCAGUCAGGGGUGAAAUCCCGGAGCUCAACUUCGGAACUGCCCUUGAUACAGCACGUCUUGAGUCCGGAAGAGGUGGGUGGAAUUCCUAGUGUAGAGGUGAAAUUCGUAGAUAUUAGGAAGAACACCAGUGGCGAAGGCGGCUCACUGGCCCGUUACCGACGCUCAGGCGCGACAGCGUGGGGAGCAAACAGG